CUCCUUUAAGAAAGGGAACGGUUCCUUAUGCAUAUUUAAGAAUGUUUGUCUGCAGCAGUGCCCAGCUGACGCGGGGCCGGAGGCUCACACGCGGGACCCGAAUUCUCGGGGAGUAAAUCAUCCGCGCUUUACACGCACCCUCUGCCAGGGCUCCAGUGGGGAGCCCCUUGCCAUUACGCUAAACACAUGGGACUGGGACAAUAGCUGGAGUGGAUUAUUCAUUCCCGUAGGCAAUACUUCCCUGUAUGGGCUUCAGGAUGCAGUUGGAGGCUCGGGAACAAAGCGGGCAUCUAAUGUCAAGGCUUCUUCCUAGGAAGAAAUAAUUCUGCUGAGACCCCUUGCCUAGGCUUUCGAAGGCUUGCAGAGAAGCAUGGUAGGAAAGCACCAUCCCUGUGGAUAGAAACUCUUCUCUCUGUCAUGUGCCUUGCAAGAAAGGCAGCAAGGGGACACUUGGAGUGAUCUGGUAUCCAGGAGCAGCAAUCCACUUCAUGCUACUGCGGAGGAAAGUUUGUUUCCAAACCAAAUAUGUUAUGGUGCUCCGUACUGGUGUCAAGUCAGUUUGAACCAUCCCAGGUCUUAGAAUAAAGAUCUCCAUUUGUGG
Neopsephotus bourkii (Bourke's parrot) is the source of this 601-nucleotide long non-coding RNA. RefSeq lists it as uncharacterized. NCBI's taxonomy places the organism in Eukaryota, Metazoa, Chordata, Aves, Psittaciformes, Psittacidae. The record is from RefSeq and is a predicted model, not a curated record. The transcript has 3 exons.